RNAcentral lists this ribosomal RNA (503 nucleotides) under uncultured bacterium. RNAcentral describes it as "partial 16S ribosomal RNA". It matches the Rfam family "Bacterial small subunit ribosomal RNA", at positions 30 to 523 of the family's 1533-position model. The record is from RNAcentral.
AUUGAACGCUGGCGGCAGGCUUAACACAUGCAAGUCGAGCGGGGUGAUGGUGCUUGCACUAUCACUUAGCGGCGGACGGGUGAGUAAUGCUUAGGAAUCUGCCUAUUAGUGGGGGGCAACAUCUCGAAAGGGAUGCUAAUACCGCAUACGUCCUACGGGAGAAAGCAGGGGAUCACUUGUGACCUUGCGCUAAUAGAUGAGCCUAGGUCGGAUUAGCUAGUUGGUGGGGUAAAGGCCUACCAAGGCGACGAUCUGUAGCGGGUCUGAGAGGAUGAUCCGCCACACUGGGACUGAGACACGGCCCAGACUCCUACGGGAGGCAGCAGUGGGGAAUAUUGGACAAUGGGGGGAACCCUGAUCCAGCCAUGCCGCGUGUGUGAAGAAGGCCUUAUGGUUGUAAAGCACUUUAAGCGAGGAGGAGGCUCUUUUGGUUAAUACCCAAGAUGAGUGGACGUUACUCGCAGAAUAAGCACCGGCUAACUCUGUGCCAGCCGCCGCCGUAA